GAUUAACGCUGGCGGCGUGCCUAACACAUGCAAGUCGAGCGGCAGCGAGUUUUACACUGAAUUCUGGAAGCUUCUAGUUGAAAGAGAAGAUUUAUUCAAGAAUUUUGUGUAAAAUGUCGGCGAGCGGCGGACGGCUGAGUAACGCGUGGGAACGUACCCCAAAGUGAGGGAUAACGCAUCGAAAGGUGUGCUAAUACCGCAUAUGGUCUUCGGAUUAAAGCCUUCGGGCGCUUUGGGAACGGCCUGCGUAAGAUUAGAUAGUUGGUGGGGUAAUGGCCUACCAAGUCGACGAUCUUUAACUGGUUUGAGAGGAUGAUCAGUCAGACUGGAACUGAGACACGGUUCAGACUCCUACGGGAGGCAGCAGUGAGGAAUCUUCCACAAUGGGCGAAAGCCUGAUGGAGCAACGCCGCGUGCAGGAUGAAGGCCUUCGGGUUGUAAACUGCUUUUAUAAGUGAGGAUUAUGACAGUAACUUAUGAAUAAGGAUCGGCUAACUACGUG
This 502-nucleotide ribosomal RNA is filed under the name uncultured bacterium. Its description in RNAcentral is "partial 16S ribosomal RNA". It matches the Rfam family "Bacterial small subunit ribosomal RNA", at positions 28 to 507 of the family's 1533-position model. The record is from RNAcentral.